This 1104-nucleotide ribosomal RNA is filed under the name Microbacterium flavum. RNAcentral's name for it is "bacterial SSU rRNA". It matches the Rfam family "Bacterial small subunit ribosomal RNA", at positions 341 to 1454 of the family's 1533-position model. Lineage: Bacteria; Bacillati; Actinomycetota; Actinomycetes; Micrococcales; Microbacteriaceae. The record is from RNAcentral.
ACGGGAGGCAGCAGUGGGGAAUAUUGCACAAUGGGCGAAAGCCUGAUGCAGCAACGCCGCGUGAGGGACGACGGCCUUCGGGUUGUAAACCUCUUUUAGCAGGGAAGAAGCGAAAGUGACGGUACCUGCAGAAAAAGCGCCGGCUAACUACGUGCCAGCAGCCGCGGUAAUACGUAGGGCGCAAGCGUUAUCCGGAAUUAUUGGGCGUAAAGAGCUCGUAGGCGGUUUGUCGCGUCUGCUGUGAAAUCCCGAGGCUCAACCUCGGGUCUGCAGUGGGUACGGGCAGACUAGAGUGCGGUAGGGGAGAUUGGAAUUCCUGGUGUAGCGGUGGAAUGCGCAGAUAUCAGGAGGAACACCGAUGGCGAAGGCAGAUCUCUGGGCCGUAACUGACGCUGAGGAGCGAAAGGGUGGGGAGCAAACAGGCUUAGAUACCCUGGUAGUCCACCCCGUAAACGUUGGGAACUAGUUGUGGGGUCCAUUCCACGGAUUCCGUGACGCAGCUAACGCAUUAAGUUCCCCGCCUGGGGAGUACGGCCGCAAGGCUAAAACUCAAAGGAAUUGACGGGGACCCGCACAAGCGGCGGAGCAUGCGGAUUAAUUCGAUGCAACGCGAAGAACCUUACCAAGGCUUGACAUAUACGAGAACGGGCCAGAAAUGGUCAACUCUUUGGACACUCGUAAACAGGUGGUGCAUGGUUGUCGUCAGCUCGUGUCGUGAGAUGUUGGGUUAAGUCCCGCAACGAGCGCAACCCUCGUUCUAUGUUGCCAGCACGUAAUGGUGGGAACUCAUGGGAUACUGCCGGGGUCAACUCGGAGGAAGGUGGGGAUGACGUCAAAUCAUCAUGCCCCUUAUGUCUUGGGCUUCACGCAUGCUACAAUGGCCGGUACAAAGGGCUGCAAUACCGUAAGGUGGAGCGAAUCCCAAAAAGCCGGUCCCAGUUCGGAUUGAGGUCUGCAACUCGACCUCAUGAAGUCGGAGUCGCUAGUAAUCGCAGAUCAGCAACGCUGCGGUGAAUACGUUCCCGGGUCUUGUACACACCGCCCGUCAAGUCAUGAAAGUCGGUAACACCUGAAGCCGGUGGCCCAACCCUUGUGGAGGGAGCC